Marmota flaviventris (yellow-bellied marmot) is the source of this 611-nucleotide non-coding RNA. The record is from RefSeq and is a predicted model, not a curated record. NCBI's taxonomy places the organism in Eukaryota, Metazoa, Chordata, Mammalia, Rodentia, Sciuridae.
AUUUAGCUCACAGUUUUGGAGUCCGAGAGUCCAAAUAGUUGUUGCUGACUUUGGGAGCCCCCCCAUCCCAUCAUGGCAGAUGGCAUCACAAUGGUGGGAGCACAUGGGAGAGGAGGAGCUCAUGUGCCCAGAUAGGAAGUCAGAGAGGAGGAGAGGCCAGGCUCACUCUUUCACAACAAGCUCUUGCAAGAACCAACCAGCGGCCCCUGAAACUGCAUCAGUUCCUUCCUGAGCAGCACCCUCCACGCCGCCCUGAGCUCACCGCCCCCACCAGCCCGGUCUCUUAAAUAAGUCUCCACACCAUCUCCCGGCCCACGAAGCCGAAGCCCCGAGGGACGCAGUCAGACACACCACCCACACAGGGAGGGCCAGCUGUGGCUCAGUUCACCAGUGCAAAUGCCGAGCCCUUCUGGAAGCCCCUUCACAAACAUCCCGAGAGAGCUACUGGGCGCCCCUUGGCCUGCUCAAGUCGACACCCCAAAUUAGCCACCCCUCAAAGCUCUGAUUCCCCUUAGAUGGACCAGGAAGCUGCUGCCUUCCCACAGAGCUUGAGUCUCUGCGGUGGGUGUCCGCCCCUGGCCAGGUAAAUAAAGCCCUCUUUUGAUUUGAAA